Molecule: long non-coding RNA, 303 nt
Organism: Mytilus californianus (California mussel)
Lineage: Eukaryota; Metazoa; Mollusca; Bivalvia; Mytilida; Mytilidae
Exons: 3
Source: RefSeq, a predicted model, not a curated record
GUGAACAGAAAAUGUGUCGCAUUAGAAUCUUGCACAGAGAAAUAUAAUGCAUCAUCGUAUUCAUUCCAACUCAGAGACUGUAAUGAUAAAUUACCAGUGUUAUGUCGGGGACAUAGAAAAGAGACUAAAAAUGAUUCUAAUGUUAGUACAACGUCCUUCAUCACAUCGGUAGAAAAUGCGAACCAUUUGAAUGAAGGAACUCCUGUAAUGGGGGUAGUGAAUGUUUUAUUGUUUGGAUUGUUGAUGAUCUUUGCUCUCCUGUACGUAAUGGUAAAUAGAAAAAGGAAUGCAUUACCAUAUCCA